Molecule: unclassified non-coding RNA, 274 nt
Filed under: uncultured fungus
Lineage: Eukaryota; Fungi
Description: sequence contains ITS1, 5.8S rRNA gene
Source: RNAcentral
GCAAUUUGGGCCCUCAGGGUCUAGUAUCACGCAGGGAAUGCUGGGGCGGAUGGACCUCUGGUUCGUCACUCCGGUGAGAUCCGCGGGGAGGAAACUCCACGCGGUGAAGCCUGCGGUGCGGGGAGCAAUCCCCGCUCUGGAUUAUCGCUACACCCGUGUCUACUAUCUUUGUUGCUUUGGCGGGCCGCCCUCGGGCGGUGGCUCCGGCUGCCCGUGCCCGCCAGAGGACCCAAACUCUUUUGUUUAGUGAUGUCUGAGUACUAUAUAAUAGUUA